RNAcentral lists this ribosomal RNA (254 nucleotides) under uncultured bacterium. RNAcentral describes it as "partial 16S ribosomal RNA". It matches the Rfam family "Bacterial small subunit ribosomal RNA", at positions 524 to 776 of the family's 1533-position model. The record is from RNAcentral.
UACGUAGGCAGCGAGCGUUGUUCGGAGUUACUGGGCGUAAAGAGUGCGUAGGCGGUUUUUCUAAGUUUGGUGUGAAAUCUCCCGGCUCAACUGGGAGGGUGCGCCGAAGACUGGAAGACUAGAGUGUGGUAGGGGAGAUCGGAAUUCCUGGUGUAGCGGUGAAAUGCGCAGAUAUCAGGAGGAACACCGGUGGCGAAGGCGGAUCUCUGGGCCAUUACUGACGCUGAGGAGCGAAAGCGUGGGGAGCGAACAGG